AUGGGUUACCUCCCCGUGCUGGGGGACCGCAGUGUGGGUUACACCUGUGCUGGGGGACCGCAGUGUGGGUUACCUCCCUGUGCUGGGGGAACGCAGUGUGGGUUACACCUGUGCUGGGGGACUGCAGUGUGGGUUACCUCCCUGUGCUGGGGGACCGCAGCAUGGGUUACACCUGUGCUGGGGGACCGCAGUGUGGGUUACACCUGUGCUGGGGGACCGCAGCAUGGGUUAGCUCCCCGUUCUGGGGACCGUAGCAUGGGUUACCUCCCUGCGCUGGGGGACCGCAGUGUGGGUUACACCUGUGCUGGGGGACUGCAGUGUGGGUUACCUCCCCGUGCUGGGGGACCGCAGUGUGGGUUACACCUGUGCUGGGGGACUGCAGUGUGGGUUACACCUGUGCUGGGGGACCGCAGUGUGGGUUACACCUGUGCUGGGGGACUGCAGUGUGGGUUACCUCCCUGUGCUGGGGGACCGCAGCAUGGGUUACACCUGUGCUGGGGGACCGCAGUGUGGGUUACACCUGUGCUGGGGACCGCAGUGUGGGUUACACCUGUGCUGGGGACCGCAGUGUGGGUUACACCUGUGCUGGGGGACCGCAGUGUGGGUUACACCUGUGCUGAGGACCGCAGUGUGGGUUACACCUGUGCUGGGGGACCGCAGUGUGGGUUACACCUGUGCUGGGGGACCGCAGUGUGGGUUACACCUGUGCUGGGGACCGCAGCGUGGGUUACCUCCCCGUGUUGGGGACCGCAGUGUGGGUUACACCUGUGCUGGGGACCGCAGUGUGGGUUACCUCCCCGUGUUGGGGACCGCAGUGUGGGUUACACCUGUGCUGGGGACCGCAGUGGUGCUGGCUGGGCCCUGCUGGCCGGAAAGGCCAGCUAUCCUCAGACGCGUGUCCAUUUCUCUGAGUACAAACUUCCGGCCAUUCCGGGACGGGAGGACUCAAUGGAUCAGCGAGUGUCUGCGUGGUCCCCGGAGCAAAAGACGCCCUAAUGGACGCUCAGGCCAGCCUCUGUGGCAGGCUGCACGCUCAGUGGCUGGGGAGCUACAGCAGCUGGUCUUGGCCACCAUGGCCCUCUGUCCUGUGCCCACCAGCUCAGCACUAGAAAGGCUAAUUCGGCAUUGCUGCCUGAGACAUUUGGCCCACUGGGUUUCUUAGUGCUUCUUCUGGGUGCAAACUCUGUGGUGGGUACAGCUGCACCACACAAGGGUCUUGGCUCUCAGCACUGACUCCCAUAGGUCCACUGACGCCUCUGUACCCAAAACCUCCUUGUCCUUUAUCUUCAGAUUUGCCAUAUAUAUGUUUAAAACGAUUUCUUGGCUUACCUGAAGGAGAUCUGUAUCUUCAUCCUCUAGUUCACUCCCUAAAUGGCUGCAACAGCCAGACUGAAGCCAGGAGCCUGGACUUCCACCUGGGGUCUCCCAUGUAGGUGGCAGGGGCCCAAGGUCGCGGGCCCCAACUGAGGGCAUCUUAACACUGCAUCAACCACCCGCCCACCAGCCAAUCAAUCGUUUUAAUAUUUUUGCUUCUACUCCCUUCCCUGUUAUCCCGAAUCUAGAGUCAGACAGGAGAAUGGAAACGCCACCCACCCGCAGCUCUUCCCGUGGGGAGGAUUCUCUCACCAGCAAGUUCAAAGCCACUCCUGAGUGAGUGUGCAUUGUGCACCGUGGUCUAAAAUGAGCCAUCCGUGAACAAAGCCUGGUAUCUCCAGCCUCUCCGACUGCCGGCCCAGGGCUUCGACACGGCUGCAGACCUGAGCCAACAGAAAGGCGCGUGCGGGCGGAGGCUGGAGGGGCUCGUGCUGACCACCCUCCCUGUGGCUGGCAGCAAGACCUUCCUCUGCUCCCACAUGUCCCGAGCUCACUUUCUCCACUUUACAGCAAACCUACAAUGAAAACUGUGGGGUAGAUCUGGCCAGGGACAGCACAGGCAGGUCUACAUGCUAGCAAUCUCUCUAUUAUUCCACGUUGCUUGUGUAGGUCUCCAUGCAUCCACUAGUAUUCCCUUCAGUAUCUUCCAAGAAAGGCACGGACAAGUGCAGCACUCACAGAGUAAAAUGGGCUAGGAGUGUGCAUGCCAAAUAAAUUCACUUAGGAAAGAGAAAUUUUAUCUAGA
This 2119-nucleotide long non-coding RNA is filed under the name Oryctolagus cuniculus (rabbit). RNAcentral describes it as "lncRNA (ENSOCUG00000034475.1)". Lineage: Eukaryota; Metazoa; Chordata; Mammalia; Lagomorpha; Leporidae. The record is from RNAcentral.